Oncorhynchus tshawytscha (Chinook salmon) is the source of this 118-nucleotide ribosomal RNA. NCBI's taxonomy places the organism in Eukaryota, Metazoa, Chordata, Actinopteri, Salmoniformes, Salmonidae. The record is from Ensembl.
GCUUACGACCACACCGGCCUGAGUACGCCUGAUCUCGUCUGAUCUCGGAAGCUAAGCAGGGUCGGCCUGGUUAGUACUUGGAUGGGAGACUUCCUGGGAAUACCAGGUGCUGUAAGCU